CCCUUCGGGGUGAAGCUCGUGGAACGAGCGGCGGACGGGUGAGUAACACGUGGGCAACCUGCCUGUAAGAUCGGAAUAACCCCGGGAAACCGGGGCUAAUGCCGGGUAAUACUUUCUUUCGCAUGAAGGAAAGUUGAAAGAUGGCUUCUCGCUAUCACUUACAGAUGGGCCCGCGGCGCAUUAGCUAGUUGGUGAGGUAACGGCUCACCAAGGCGACGAUGCGUAGCCGACCUGAGAGGGUGAUCGGCCACACUGGGACUGAGACACGGCCCAGACUCCUACGGGAGGCAGCAGUAGGGAAUCUUCCGCAAUGGACGAAAGUCUGACGGAGCAACGCCGCGUGAACGAUGAAGGUCUUCGGAUCGUAAAGUUCUGUUGUUAGGGAAGAACAAGUACCGUGCGAAUAGAGCGGUACCUUGACGGUACCUAACGAGGAAGCCCCGGCUAACUACGUGCCAGCAGCCGCGGUAAUACGUAGGGGGCAAGCGUUGUCCGGAAUUAUUGGGCGUAAAGCGCGCGCAGGCGGUUCCUUAAGUCUGAUGUGAAAGCCCACGGCUCAACCGUGGAGGGUCAUUGGAAACUGGGGAACUUGAGGACAGAAGAGGAGAGUGGAAUUCCACGUGUAGCGGUGAAAUGCGUAGAUAUGUGGAGGAACACCAGUGGCGAAGGCGACUCUCUGGUCUGUUUCUGACGCUGAGUGCGAAAGCGUGGGUAGCAAACAGGAUUAGAUACCCUGGUAG
Molecule: ribosomal RNA, 740 nt
Filed under: Vreelandella alkaliphila
Lineage: Bacteria; Pseudomonadati; Pseudomonadota; Gammaproteobacteria; Oceanospirillales; Halomonadaceae
Description: bacterial SSU rRNA
Rfam family: Bacterial small subunit ribosomal RNA
Source: RNAcentral